This 445-nucleotide ribosomal RNA is filed under the name uncultured Pseudomonas sp. RNAcentral describes it as "bacterial SSU rRNA". It matches the Rfam family "Bacterial small subunit ribosomal RNA", at positions 938 to 1382 of the family's 1533-position model. The record is from RNAcentral. Lineage: Bacteria; Pseudomonadati; Pseudomonadota; Gammaproteobacteria; Pseudomonadales; Pseudomonadaceae.
CAUGUGGUUUAAUUCGAAGCAACGCGAAGAACCUUACCAGGCCUUGACAUGCAGAGAACUUUCCAGAGAUGGAUUGGUGCCUUCGGGAACUCUGACACAGGUGCUGCAUGGCUGUCGUCAGCUCGUGUCGUGAGAUGUUGGGUUAAGUCCCGUAACGAGCGCAACCCUUGUCCUUAGUUACCAGCACGUUAUGGUGGGCACUCUAAGGAGACUGCCGGUGACAAACCGGAGGAAGGUGGGGAUGACGUCAAGUCGUCAUGGCCCUUACGGCCUGGGCUACACACGUGCUACAAUGGUCGGUACAAAGGGUUGCCAAGCCGCGAGGUGGAGCUAAUCCCAUAAAACCGAUCGUAGUCCGGAUCGCAGUCUGCAACUCGACUGCGUGAAGUCGGAAUCGCUAGUAAUCGUGAAUCAGAAUGUCACGGUGAAUACGUUCCCGGGCCUU